This 3267-nucleotide long non-coding RNA is filed under the name Triticum aestivum (bread wheat). Its description in RNAcentral is "long non-coding RNA (TAES_LNC008977)". Lineage: Eukaryota; Viridiplantae; Streptophyta; Magnoliopsida; Poales; Poaceae. The record is from RNAcentral.
GUGAGAUCUCCUGUCUGACUGCAGGUUGCAGUGUUGCCUUGUUCACCGGAUGUUCUGCUUGCUUGUCUGAUCUUGUAAUGGUAGAUGGAGUUGGAUUGUGGUCCUAGUGAACUUACUUGGAUGCCUGAUGUAACAUCUUCAGUGUUGUUCUUGUUGAACUUCCUCUAUGGAUUUGUUGAUGGAACAUAUUUCGUGUUGAACUUGUUAUUGUUAUGAUUGUAGUGUGUUCCCUGAAUGUUCUUUUGCUCAGAUUUCUUGUUUCGGUCUAAAUGCAUUAGGGAUUGAAAUUUUGUACCACUCGAGAUCAACUUAUGUUCCUUAAGAUUUCCUGCCAGUUUAAAAGGCACAGAGUUUAGCACUCAAGUUUAAGUUGCAGGUGGGAAACUUUUGGCGAAUAAUCCUCGCCAAAAUCAGAUCGUCCGAGACUAUUUCCCAGUUUAGGUUCAGGUAGAUGCGGAAAACAAGUUUUUCUCAGGCACGCAUUGCUAUGUGAAAACAAGUUCAGCAUUCGUCACGAAGCUUGUUCUAGUGCGAUUGCAAUGGGCACUGAAUUUUGUAUCACUCGAGAUCCCCAGCUCAUGUUUCUUUCAAGAAUCUUGAGUUUUUCUUUACUUGGUACGGAUCACAGGAACUUCUACACUAUGGUCACAGGGACUUUUACACUAUGAUCUUUUAAGAAUCUUGGACAAGAUCACAGGGAUUUUUACACUAUGAUCUUUAAAGAAUCUUGGACAAGAUCAUAGGGAUUUUUACACCAUGGUCAAUUUAGUCGCUCGAGAUCAGAGGUUCUUCUUAUAUAAGCAAUGGUCAAUUUAGUCAUCCGUGACCAGCUCAACUCCAGUGUUCUGCUGUGCAGUUCAGCACAAAGUCAUUUCAAUGGUCAGAUGUGGCUGGACAAUCCAAAAUCAUUUGUUUGUGACGACGUAAUAAUGCUCACUCCAAAGGGGAGACGUUCUUCAUUUCUUUUCAGAAAAAAGAAAUAUACGAAAGAAGAAUAAGUCCAUAGAGGAGAGUUGCCGGUCUCACUGGGCUCUUCGAAGCCGCUACAGCUUGCAGCAUCUAUAUAAGGCAGCACCAUAGGGUCCUAAUCUAUCACUUACAACAAGCUCGUCUGCCAAUUCACAAACCUAAAACCCUGCUUUCUACGCAAACCAGUCCUAGACAAGUGCUCCAAUGGCGUCCCAGCUGGUCGAGAGCCACCGUGCCGGGGCCGAGGUCAUCAAGGGGGGCGAAGUCUGCAAGAAGAAGUCUGUCGAGCUCCUUGAAGAGCUCGGCCUCCCUAAAGGCCUCUUUCCAAUGGACGACAUCGAGGAGAUCGGGUACAACCGCGAGAGCGGGUUCGUUUGGAUGCUUCAGAAGAAGAAGAGCGAGCACACCUUCAAGAAGAUUAACCAGACCGUCUCCUACGACAUCGAGGUGACCGCUUUUGUGGAGAAGGGCAAGAUCAAGAAGGUCACAGGGGUCAAGUUCGAGGACCUGUCUUUGGUCGAGGUCUAUGUGGAUGAGUCUUCUGCUGAUAAGGUCACCGUCAAGACUGACACCGGUCUGUCUGACACCCAUGAUGCGGUCGCGUUCGCUCUCGGAGAAUAGGGAGCUAAGUAGAAAUGGCACAAAAUAAAGUCAGUGAAUGGUUCGACACUAUGGUUCGCAUGUCAUGCAAAAGUAUCUUUCCAUUUUCUUGUAAUCUAAAGGCUGCUGCGUGAAUGUUGCUCCCUUUGGGCUGGUAAUCUUUCGACAGUGAAUUGAAUAAUUGCAUUUAUAGUUCUGUACCCCCUCCUCUAUCCCACAUCGAUGACUCUCAACUUUCAUCUCAGUGAAUGGUUUAGAAUCUUCAAAUCGAUGUGAAAAACAAGUUUUUUCUUAAGCACAUAUUUUUAUGUGAAAACAAGUCCUUCUCUCGAAUGUUGUUUUGUAGUAUUAGAAGAACACUGAGAAAAAGGCAAAGGAAAAAAAAUGGGACAAAAGCAGAAACCAGAGCAAACCUAAACUAGCCAAAAUCUAAGACUAGCAAAGAGAAUGACACAACCAAGACAGAGCAAAGUUCACACUGCUAUGGUUGAGGCUGCAUGAUCCAUAGAUUAUUUUCUCUUUCUAAGUUCAGGUUGAUGUGAAAACAAGUUGCUUUAAUGAUGCAUCAUUCGCCACGGUCUAGAGACUAUGGAGGCAGCUUGGACCGCGGCGACUAUGGUGGCUACUACCCAGGCCCGUAUGUGGGCAGGUGCAACCGGAGCAGCUGCACAGGGCCCCCAGAAUCUUGGGGCCCCAAUUUUUUAAAGUACUGCUACGUUAUUACUACUCAUCAGGUGUAUUAAUAAGAGACUAAGCAAGUCAUGGCCACACUUGCCCACGGCCCAGUCAUGUCACAGCCUCACCUUCACGGGAGUCAAAGCAGUCUGCAUGCGUUGCAAUCCUUCGUCUCCUCGGCUCGUCCCUCGAUUCUUCUCCAGUGGAUUCAUAAUUUUUUUGGAAACAGAGCCAUUGAUGGCUAUGAACUGCUGCUUCGUUUGGCUAUACGGUGCUACUACCUCAUAGGAGUACUUAUAAAUUGGGUGGAUUUGUAUUGAUUCCGCGUUCUCUCUUUCAAAGUCUCAUCCCUCAGAGCAGAUCAACCAGACUUUCUUUUCUUUCUCUUGGUUGAGGUGCAGAGCAAUCGGAGUCCUAUGUGCCAUCAUUUCUUCAUGGUGUGUAUUCCUCAACAACAACAAAACCGUUUGGGUUAUUUGUCCCUUUUUGUUUUGUACACCCCUGUUCUUAAGUUAAUUUGCUGCUCUUUCAUGAAUUUAUUCAUCCGGCUGGCAUAAUAAUAGUUCAAAGUAAUAAAGAUUUUCUUUUGGCCUGUAAAUGGGGCCUAAAAUGUGAUUACGCACCGGGGCCCGGAUUUCUGAGGUACGGCCCUGCUACUACCACCAUAGCCGGAGGAGCAGUGAGAGGAAUCGCAACUAUGACAGCCAUGGGAGCAGGCGGCAGCGACGCAGGUCUAUGACUAGGAGCCCGGUCAGGCAGGGCAGCGAGGAGAGGAGGGCGAAGAUUGAGCGGUGGAACCGUGAAAGGGAUACGGUGCAGGCGUGAGACCUCCGGUCUGACUGCAGGUUGCCUUGUUCACCGGAUGUUCUGCUUGCUUGUCUGAUCUUAUAAUGGUAGAUGGAGUUAGAUUGUGGUCCUAGCGAACUUACUCGGAUGCCUGAUGUAACAUCUUCAGUGUGGUUCUUGUUGAACCUCCUCUUUGGAUGUGUUGAUGGAACAUAUUUGGUUUUGAAUUUGUUAUUG